Long non-coding RNA from Danaus plexippus (monarch butterfly), 448 nucleotides. RefSeq lists it as uncharacterized. The record is from RefSeq and is a predicted model, not a curated record. The transcript has 2 exons. NCBI's taxonomy places the organism in Eukaryota, Metazoa, Arthropoda, Insecta, Lepidoptera, Nymphalidae.
AACACAAACCGUCAACAACAAUUUGACACUCUAAAAUUUUUAGUAAACACAUAAAUUUGAAAGUGCAAAAUUUUUUUGUUAAUUUUCCACUUUAAUGACCUAAAUAUGCAGAUUCGUAAUUUGAAACAGAAAUGCGCGGAUUGUUUUAAGCCAACGAUGCGUCGCCUCGCCAACUUCGAGGCAAGCGACGAAUAUGAAUGCUACACCGAAAGCUAUAUUAAAUGCUUUUGGGGACUUUGUGACCACCAGAAGAGCAUGCAUGCCUUAAUUACGAAAUCUAAUUCUGAAGUCAUAACAAAAGCACCUGUAAGACAACACCCAACAUACAAGAACCCCGGUCUGAUUGGCGGAUUUAUUUAUAACAGCGCAUAAAUAAUGUGAAUAAAAUGAUAACAACAUAAAUAAUUUCGAAUUAAAAUUUUGUCAAAUAACAUCGUUCAGACUGUUU